This 355-nucleotide transfer-messenger RNA is filed under the name Candidatus Adiutrix sp. It matches the Rfam family "transfer-messenger RNA". Rfam says of the family: Bacterial tmRNA, also known as 10Sa RNA or SsrA, is named for its dual tRNA and mRNA-like properties. Its role is to liberate the mRNA from a stalled ribosome. The record is from RNAcentral. Lineage: Bacteria; Pseudomonadati; Thermodesulfobacteriota; Desulfarculia; Candidatus Adiutricales; Candidatus Adiutricaceae.
GGGGGCGACUUGGGUUCGACGGGGAUAGUUGAACUCGCAGCGGCAGGCCGAGCGACCCGGUGACUCGUUAAUCCAUAGGGAUUAAACACAAAAGCAGACUCUUACGAGUACGCUCUGGCCGCUUAAGGCCAGCGUUUUCAGGCCGACCUGGCCCGGGGCGGUUUGAAGGCGUGGUUAAAGGGGCUGGUUUUCUCCGGCGGCGUCGGGACGGAGGAAAUGAGAAAAAUCUGGCGCUGGCCUUUGAAUGAGCCUGUCCAUCGGCGCUUUCAGGGUGAGAAACAAAUAAUGGACUAAGCCUGUAGAAACUUCGGGGGAAGAUCUUCGGACGCGGGUUCAAUUCCCGCCGCCUCCACCA